Molecule: ribosomal RNA, 224 nt
Filed under: uncultured bacterium
Lineage: Bacteria
Description: partial 16S ribosomal RNA
Rfam family: Bacterial small subunit ribosomal RNA
Source: RNAcentral
UAACACGUGAGCAACCUACCUAGGGUGUGGGGGAUAGCCGGCCCAACGGCCGGGUAAUACCGCAUACGCUCAACACGAGGCAUUUCGAGUUGAGGAAACCUUCGGGGCACCAUGAGGGGCUCGCGGCCUAUCAGCUAGUUGGCGAGGUAAUGGCUCACCAAGGCUACGACGGGUAGCUGGUCUGAGAGGAUGGCCAGCCACAUUGGGACUGAGAAACGGCCCAG